UACGUAGGUGGCAAGCGUUGUCCGGAAUUACUGGGCGUAAAGGGCUCGUAGGCGGCCAACUAAGUCAUACGUGAAAUCCCUCAGCUUAACUGGGGAACUGCGUGUGAUACUGGAUGGCUUGGAUUUGGGAGAGGGAUGCGGAAUUCCAGGUGUAGCGGUGAAAUGCGUAGAUAUCUGGAGGAACACCGGUGGCGAAGGCGGCAUCCUGGACCAAUAUUGACGCUGAGGAGCGAAAGCUAGGGGAGCAAACGGG
RNAcentral lists this ribosomal RNA (253 nucleotides) under uncultured bacterium. RNAcentral's name for it is "partial 16S ribosomal RNA". It matches the Rfam family "Bacterial small subunit ribosomal RNA", at positions 524 to 776 of the family's 1533-position model. The record is from RNAcentral.